GACGAACGCUGGCGGCGUGCCUAAUACAUGCAAGUAGAACGCUGAAGAGAGGAGCUUGCUCUUCUUGGAUGAGUUGCGAACGGGUGAGUAACGCGUAGGUAACCUGCCUUGUAGCGGGGGAUAACUAUUGGAAACGAUAGCUAAUACCGCAUAACAAUGGAUGACACAUGUCAUUUAUUUGAAAGGGGCAAUUGCUCCACUACAAGAUGGACCUGCGUUGUAUUAGCUAGUAGGUGAGGUAACGGCUCACCUAGGCGACGAUACAUAGCCGACCUGAGAGGGUGAUCGGCCACACUGGGACUGAGACACGGCCCAGACUCCUACGGGAGGCAGCAGUAGGGAAUCGUCGGCAAUGGGGGCAACCCUGACCGAGCAACGCCGCGUGAGGGAAGAAGGGUUUCGGAUCGUAAAGCUCUGUUGUAAGUCAAGAACGAGUGUGAGAGUGGAAAGUUCACACUGUGACGGUAGCUUACCAGAAAGGGACGGCUAACUACGUG
RNAcentral lists this ribosomal RNA (497 nucleotides) under uncultured bacterium. RNAcentral describes it as "partial 16S ribosomal RNA". It matches the Rfam family "Bacterial small subunit ribosomal RNA", at positions 28 to 507 of the family's 1533-position model. The record is from RNAcentral.